UACAGAGGGUGCAAGCGUUGUUCGGAAUUAUUGGGCGUAAAGGGCGCGUAGGCGGCCGGACAAGUCGGGUGUGAAAUCCCUCGGCUCAACCGAGGAACUGCAUUCGAUACUGUCUGGCUCGAGUCCGGGAGGGGAUGGUGGAAUUCCCAGUGUAGCGGUGAAAUGCGUAGAUAUUGGGAAGAACACCGGUGGCGAAGGCGACCAUCUGGACCGGAACUGACGCUGAGGCGCGAAAGCCAGGGGAGCGAAUGGG
This 253-nucleotide ribosomal RNA is filed under the name uncultured bacterium. RNAcentral describes it as "partial 16S ribosomal RNA". It matches the Rfam family "Bacterial small subunit ribosomal RNA", at positions 524 to 776 of the family's 1533-position model. The record is from RNAcentral.